RNAcentral lists this ribosomal RNA (490 nucleotides) under uncultured bacterium. Its description in RNAcentral is "partial 16S ribosomal RNA". It matches the Rfam family "Bacterial small subunit ribosomal RNA", at positions 30 to 507 of the family's 1533-position model. The record is from RNAcentral.
AUUGAACGCUGGCGGCAGGCCUAACACAUGCAAGUCGAACGGUAACAGAAAGCAGCUUGCUGCUUUGCUGACGAGUGGCGGACGGGUGAGUAAUGUCUGGGAAACUGCCUGAUGGAGGGGGAUAACUACUGGAAACGGUAGCUAAUACCGCAUAACGUCGCAAGACCAAAGAGGGGGACCUUCGGGCCUCUUGCCAUCGGAUGUGCCCAGAUGGGAUUAGCUAGUAGGCGGGGUAAAGGCUCACCUAGGCGACGAUCCCUAGCUGGUCUGAGAGGAUGACCAGCCACACUGGAACUGAGACACGGUCCAGACUCCUACGGGAGGCAGCAGUGGGGAAUAUUGCACAAUGGGCGCAAGCCUGAUGCAGCCAUGCCGCGUGUAUGAAGAAGGCCUUCGGGUUGUAAAGUACUUUCAGCGGGGAGGAAGGGAGUAAAGUUAAUACCUUUGCUCAUUGACGUUACCCGCAGAAGAAGCACCGGCUAACUCCGUG